UAGGAAGUGGUGUAGUGGCAGCACGAAGAGUUUUGAUCUCUUUGGGUAGGGUUCGACCCCCUUCUUUCUAA
This 71-nucleotide transfer RNA is filed under the name Aplocheilus lineatus (striped panchax). RNAcentral's name for it is "tRNA-Gln". It matches the Rfam family "tRNA". Rfam says of the family: Transfer RNA (tRNA) molecules are approximately 80 nucleotides in length. Their secondary structure includes four short double-helical elements and three loops (D, anti-codon, and T loops). Further hydrogen bonds mediate the characteristic L-shaped molecular structure. tRNAs have two regions of fundamental functional importance: the anti-codon, which is responsible for specific mRNA codon recognition, and the 3' end, to which the tRNAs corresponding amino acid is attached (by aminoacyl-tRNA synthetases). tRNAs cope with the degeneracy of the genetic code in two manners: having more than one tRNA (with a specific anti-codon) for a particular amino acid; and 'wobble' base-pairing, i.e. permitting non-standard base-pairing at the 3rd anti-codon position. The record is from RNAcentral. Lineage: Eukaryota; Metazoa; Chordata; Actinopteri; Cyprinodontiformes; Aplocheilidae.